This 30-nucleotide non-coding RNA is filed under the name Homo sapiens (human). Lineage: Eukaryota; Metazoa; Chordata; Mammalia; Primates; Hominidae. The record is from RNAcentral.
UCCCAGGGAUCCACCCAUUGCCACCUGAGC